GCACGAUGCCAAACAGACAGAGAUGGCAGAAAAUUAAAGAAAAACUGAAGGAGGCAGCGAAAUUGACAGCUUUCUUAUCAACAUGGGUGAAAAAGAUCCUCAGAGAGCUCUUUGCCAUGAGGUGCCAUGUUCAACUUCCAGUGACCAGUAUGACAGCAUUCAUCAAUUCUGGUGGAAUUGACCUGUGCCUACCUCUAUGCUCAGCAUCUUUCUACUUCUUCAAAUAUUUCAUCAUCCAAAAUGAGCAGGUUAAGAAGUUCCAAGCCAUUAAUUUGCUACAGAAAGUGGAUUUGUGCAGAAAGUCGGGCUGCACCCAGCAAACUGUGUUUAACUGAGCUGGAAGCCAAC
Long non-coding RNA from Ictalurus punctatus (channel catfish), 348 nucleotides. NCBI's taxonomy places the organism in Eukaryota, Metazoa, Chordata, Actinopteri, Siluriformes, Ictaluridae. The record is from Ensembl.